AUAUUGGUGGUUCAGUGGUAGCAUUCUCAUCUUCCAUGUGGGAGACCCGGGUUUGAUUCCCAGCCAAUGCA
Molecule: transfer RNA, 71 nt
Filed under: Loxodonta africana (African savanna elephant)
Lineage: Eukaryota; Metazoa; Chordata; Mammalia; Proboscidea; Elephantidae
Rfam family: tRNA
About the family: Transfer RNA (tRNA) molecules are approximately 80 nucleotides in length. Their secondary structure includes four short double-helical elements and three loops (D, anti-codon, and T loops). Further hydrogen bonds mediate the characteristic L-shaped molecular structure. tRNAs have two regions of fundamental functional importance: the anti-codon, which is responsible for specific mRNA codon recognition, and the 3' end, to which the tRNAs corresponding amino acid is attached (by aminoacyl-tRNA synthetases). tRNAs cope with the degeneracy of the genetic code in two manners: having more than one tRNA (with a specific anti-codon) for a particular amino acid; and 'wobble' base-pairing, i.e. permitting non-standard base-pairing at the 3rd anti-codon position.
Source: Rfam by way of RNAcentral